AUAAAUGAAUAACAACCACCAUCGUAUAAUAUUGGGGAUAAGGCCCAAGAGUUUCUACCGGACUACCGUAAAUGGUCCGACUACGAGGUAAUUGCUAGAUUAA
Molecule: non-coding RNA, 103 nt
Filed under: Pontibacillus marinus
Lineage: Bacteria; Bacillati; Bacillota; Bacilli; Caryophanales; Bacillaceae
Description: Guanine sequence
Rfam family: Purine riboswitch aptamer
About the family: Riboswitches are metabolite binding domains within certain messenger RNAs that serve as precision sensors for their corresponding targets. Allosteric rearrangement of mRNA structure is mediated by ligand binding, and this results in modulation of gene expression.
Source: RNAcentral